CUCGUCAGAGCGAGAAUAAACAGUCCAUUAAGCUCUGAGCGUUCCGCCAGUACGGCGGAGGUUGG
This 65-nucleotide ribozyme is filed under the name human gut metagenome. Its description in RNAcentral is "Pistol ribozyme". It matches the Rfam family "Pistol ribozyme". The record is from RNAcentral.